CCCAAAUCCCAUUGGGACCCCAUCGGGACCCCCCAAUCCCAUUGGGACCCCAUCGGGACCCCCCCCCAAACCCCAUUGGGACCCCAUCAGGACCCCCCAACCCCAUUAGGACCCCUCCAACCCCAUCGGGACCCCCCAACCCCAUUGGGACCCCAUUAGGACCCCCCAACCCCAUUGGGACCCCCCCCAAAACCCCAUUGGGAUCCAUUGAACCCCAUUGGGAUCCGCUCCUUUUCCACCUCCAUUGGCCGAAGGUCCCCAUCGCCGCCCCUUCAUUUUUUGGGGUCAAACCGCCCCGAUUUGGCCAUUUUUUACCCCAUUUCGUCGUUCCUUUUUCCUUUCCCUUUGCGGACUUCCCAAAAACUCUCCAUUUUUGGGGUUUUUUGGGGUUUUUUUUCCCCUUUUUCCCCCCUUUUUUGCCCCAUUUUGGGGCUUCUUCGGUUCUCCCCCUUCGGGCGAACGGCGUCGAUUUUGGGGCUGAAAAAGUGGGAUUUGGGGUGGGGGGGGGUUUGGGGUUUUCUUCCCCCCCCCUCCCCCACACGCCGCCCCAAUGGGGUUAUAUGGCAAACGAGGGGUUUUCGGCCCAAAAUUGGGUGAAAAAACGGCGAUUUUGGGUGGGUUUGGGGCGCGAAAAGGGGUAAAAAAAAAAAGGUUAAAAAGGGUUAAAAACGGCCGUUGCGAUGGAGGGGAAAUGGUAAAGAAUGGGGUGGAGGGGGGGGGGGGGGGAAAGAGGACGGAGGGGCCGAAAAUUGGGGUGAAAAAGGGCGAAAAUGGGCAAAAAUGGGGACUUUGGGGGGGAAAAAAAAGGGCAUUUUUGGCUGUUGUCGGUCGCUGUGUUCCUCUGUCUGUAGUAAUAAAUAGAGCCUGAAGCGCUGUGGGGGUCUUUUUGGGGGGGGGUUUUGGGGGGUUUGGGGGGGAAAUGGGGGUUUGGGGUGGAAAUUGGGGGGUAUGGGGGUUUGGAGGGGAUUUUGGGGUGGUUUUGGGGUGGAAAAUGGGUGGGUUGUGGGGGGUUUUGGGGUAGAAAUUGGGGUUUGGGGGAUUUUUGGGUGGGAAAUGGGGGGUUCGGGGGAGGUUUUGGGGUGAAAAAUGGGGGUUUGGGGUGGAAAUUGGGGGGUUUGAGGGUUUAGAGGGGAUUUUGGGGUGGUUUUGGGGUGGAAAAUGGGGAUUUUGGGGUAGGAAAAUGGCGGUUUGGGGGGGUUUUGGGGUGGAAAAUGGGGGCUGUGGGGGUUUGGAGGGGAUUUUGGGGUGGUUUUGGGGUGAAAAAUGGGGGGGUUGGGGGUUUGGGGGGGAUUUUGGGGUGGAAAAUGGGGGGGUUGAGGGUUUGGAAGGGAUUUUGGGGUGGUUUUGGGGUGGAAAAUGGGGGGGUUGGGGAGAUUUUGGGGUGGAAAAUGGGGGUUUGGGGUAGAAAAAUGGGGGAGUUGGGGGUUUGGAGGGGAUUUUGGGGUGGAAAAGGGGGGUUUGGGGUGGAAAUUGGGGGCUAUGGGGGUUUGGAGGGGAUUUUGGGGUGGUUUUGGGGUGGAAAAUGGGUGGGUUGUGGGGGGUUUUGUGGUAGAAAUUGGGGUUUGGGGGAUUUUUGGGUGGGAAAUGGGGGGUUCGGGGGAGGUUUUGGGGUGAAAAAUGGGGGUUUGGGGUGGAAAUUGGGGGGUUUGAGGGUUUAGAGGGGAUUUUGGGGUGGUUUUGGGGUGGAAAAUGGGGAUUCUGGGGUAGGAAAAUGGCGGUUUGGGGGGGGUUUGGGGUGGAAAAUGGGGGGGUUGAGGGUUUGGAAGGGAUUUUGGGGUGGUUUUGGGGUGGAAAAUGGGGGGGUUGGGGGGAUUUUGGGGUGGAAAAUGGGGGUUUGGGGUAGAAAAAUGGGGGGGUUGGGGGUUUGGAGGGGAUUUUGGGGUGGAAAAGGGGGGUUUGGGGUGGAAAUUGGGGGGGUUGAGGGUUUGGAAGGGAUUUUGGGGUGGUUUUGGGGUGGAAAAUGGGUGGGUUGUGGGGGGUUUUGGGGUAGAAAUUGGGGUUUGGGGGAUUUUUGGGUGGGAAAUGGGGGGUUCGGGGGAGGUUUUGGGGUGAAAAAUGGGGGUUUGGGGUGGAAAUUGGGGGGUUUGAGGGUUUAGAGGGGAUUUUGGGGUGGUUUUGGGGUGGAAAAUGGGGAUUCUGGGGUAGGAAAAUGGCGGUUUGGGGGGGUUUUGGGGUGGAAAAUGGGGGCUGUGGGGGUUUGGAGGGGAUUUUGGGGUGGUUUUGGGGUGGAAAAUGGGGCUUUUGAGGGGAUUUUGGGGUGAAAAAUGGGGGUUUGGGGAGUUUUUGAGGGGAUGGGGGGUGAAAAAUGGGGGUUUAGAGGGGAUUUUGGGGUGAAAAAUGGGGGUUUGAGGCAUUAAAACAGUGGGUUCGGUGAACAAAAACCACCACUUUUCAGACUCAGAAAUGGGUGAAGAAAAGGCAAUUUGGGGUCAAUGUGAAAUUGAGAAUAGAAGUUUUAAUUUAAGUUAAAUCCGGAGUUCAUUCCGGGGCAGAAAACCCUCAAAAUGACCCCCAAAAUACCCCCAAAAUCCUCAGGUUUGGGGUUGGGGGGAGGGGGGGGGGGAGGAUAUAGGGGAUAUAUUGGGGUGGGGGGCACAGAAUUGAGACCCCCCCCAACCCCAUAAUGGGGUUGAAUGGGGCGGCUCCAACCCAAGCGGUUCUCAUGGCUGCCCCCAACCGGGUGGGGGGACUUUGGGGGGGGAAAACACCCCAAAAGUGCCCAAUUUUGGGGUUUUUUGACCCAUUUUGGCCAAUGAAAGAUGGGAGACCCAACUGGUGGUGAUUUGGGGGGAAAACGCACCUCAAAAGUGCCCAAAUUUGGGGUUUUUGGACCCAUUUUGGCCAAUGAAAGAUGGGAGACCCAACUGGUGGUGAUUUGGGGGGAAAACACACCUCAAAAGUGCCCCAAUUUGGGGUUUUUGGACCCAUUUUGGCCAAUGAAAGAUGGUAGAGCCAACCAGUUGUGUUGGGAGAUCCAAUGUGUGGGGUUUGGGGGGAAAACACACCUCGAAAGUGCCCAAUUUUGGGGUUUUUUGACCCAUUUUGGCCAAUGAAAGAUGGUAGACCCAACUGGUGGUGUUGGGAGAUCCAAUGUUUGGGGUUUGGGGGGGAAAACACCCCAAAAGUGCCCAAAUUUGGGGUUUUUUGACCCAUUUUGGGCAAUGAAAGAUGGUAGAGCCAACUGGUGGUGUUGGGAGAUCCAAUGUGUGGGGUUUGGGGGGGAAAACACCCCAAAAGUGCCCAAUUUGGGGUUUUUUUGACCUAUUUUGGCCAACGGGAAGUAGGGAGACCCAACUGGUGGUGAUUUGGGGGGAAAACACACCUCAAAAGUGCCCAAUUUUGGGGUUUUUGGACCCAUUUUGGCCAACGGGAAGAAGGGAGACCCAACUGGUGGUGUUUGGGGGGAAAACACCCCUCAAAAGUGCCCAAAUUUGGGGUUUUUGGACCCAUUUUGGCCAAUGAAAGAUGGUAGACCCAUCCGGUUGUGUUGGGAGAUCCAAUGUUUGGGGUUUGGGGGGAAAACACACCCCAAAAGUGCCCAAAUUUGGGGUUUUUGGACCCAUUUUGGCCAACGGGAAGAUGGGAGACCCAACUGGUAGUGAUUUGGGGGGAAAAGAUACCCCAAAAGUGCCUAAACUUGGGGUUUUUGGACCCAUUUUGGCCAAUGAAAGAUGGUAGACCCAUCCGGUUGUGUUGGGAGAUCCAAUGUUUGGGGUUUGGGGGGAAAACACACCCCAAAAGUGCCCAAAUUUGGGGUUUUUGGACCCAUUUUGGCCAACGGGAAGAAGGGAGACCCAACUGGUAGUCAUGUGGGGGGAAAACACACCGCAAAAGUGCCCAAUUUUGGGGUUUUUGGACCCAUUUUGGCCAAUGAAAGAUGGGAGACCCAACCGGUGGUGAUUUGGGGGGAAAACAUACCUCAAAAGUGCCUAAAUUUGGGGUUUUUGGACCCAUUUUGGCCAAUGAAAGAUGGGAGACCCAACCGGUGGUGUUGGGAGAUCCAAUGUGUGGGGUUUGGGGGGGAAAACACCUCAAAAGUGCCAAAUUUGGGGUUUUUUGACACAUUUUGGCCAACGGGAAGAAGGGAGACCCAACUGGUGGUGUUUGGGGGGAAAACACACCCCAAAAGUCCCCAAAUUUGGGGUUUUUGGACCCAUUUUGGCCAAUGAAAGAUGGUAGACCCAACUGGUGGUGUUGGAAACCCAACUGGUGGUGAUUUGGGAGGAAAACACACCCCAAAAGUGCCCAAUUUUGGGGUUUUUGGACCCAUUUUGGCCAACGGGAAGAAGGGAGACCCAACUGGUGGUGUUUGGGGGGAAAACACCCCUCAAAAGUGCCCAAAUUUGGGGUUUUUGGACCCAUUUUGGCCAAUGAAAGAUGGUAGACCCAUCCGGUUGUGUUGGGAGAUCCAAUGUUUGGGGUUUGGGGGGAAAACACAUCCUUAAAAGUGCCCAAAUUUAGGGCUUUUUGACCCAUUUUGGCCAACAAGAAGAUGGGAGACCCAACUGGUCGUGUUUGGGGGGAAAACACACCCCAAAAGUGCCCAAUUUUGGGAUUUUUUGACCCAUUUUGGCCAACGGGAAGAAAGUAGACCCAACUGGUGGUAUUUGGGGGGAAAACACACCUCAGAAGUGCCCAAAUUUGGGGUUUUUGGACUCAUUUUGGCCAAUUGGAAGUAGGGAGACCAAACUGGUGGUGUUGGGAGAUCCAAUGUGUGGGCUUUGGGGGGAAAACACACCUCAAAAGUGCCCAAAUUUGGGUUUUUUUGACCCAUUUUGGCCAACGAAAGAUGGUAGACCCAACCGGUUGUGUUGGGAGAUCCAAUGUGUGGGGUUUGGGGGGGAAAACACCCCAAAAGUGCCCAAUUUGGGGUUUUUUUGACCUAUUUUGGCCAACGGGAAGUAGGGAGACCCAACUGGUGGUGAUUGGGGGGAAAACACACCUCAAAAGUGCCCCAAUUUGGGGUUUUUGGACCCAUUUUGGCCAAUGAAAGAUGGUAGACCCAUCCGGUUGUGUUGGGAGAUCCAAUCUUUGGGGUUUGGGGGGAAAAGAUACCCCAAAAGUGCCCAAAUUUGGGGUUUUUGGACCCAUUUUGACCAACGGGAAGUAGGGAGACCCAACUGGUGGUGAUUUGGGGGGAAAACACACCCCAAAAGUGCCCAAUUUUGGGGUUUUUGGACCCAUUUUGGCCAACGGGAAGAAGGGAGACCCAACUGGUAGUCAUGUGGGGGGAAAACACAUCGCAAAAGUGCCCCAUUUUGGGGUUUUUGGACCCAUUUUGGCCAACGGGAAGAAAGUAGACCCAACUGGUGGUAUUUGGGGGGAAAACACACCUCAAAAGUGCCCAAUUUUGGGGUUUUUUGACCCAUUUUGGCCAACGGGAAGAAAGUAGACCCAACUGGUGGUGUUUGGAGGGAAAUACACCCCAAAAGUGCCCAAAUUUGGGGUUUUUUGACCCAUUUUAGGCCAACAGGAAGAAGGGAGACCCAACUGGUGGUGUUUGGAAGGGAAACUCACCUCAAAAGUGCCCAAUUUGGGGUUUUUUGACCCAUUUUGGCCAAUGAAAGAUGGGAGACCCAACUGGUGGUGAUUUGGGGGGAAAACACCCCUCAAAAGUGCCCCAAUUUGGGGUUUUUGGACCCAUUUUGGCCAAUGGGAAGAAAGUAGACCCAAGUGGUGGUGGUAGGGGGGAAAACACACCUCAAAAGUGCCCCAAUUUGGGGUUUUUGGACCCAUUUUGGCCAAUGAAAGAUGGGAGACCCAACUGGUGGUGUUGGGAGAUCCAAUGUUUGGGGUUUGGGGGGAAAUACACCUCAAAAGUGCCCAAUCUUGGGGUUUUUUGACCCAUUUUGGCCAACGGGAAGAAGGGAGACCCAACUGGUGGUAUUUGGGGGGAAAACACACCCCAAAAGUCCCCCAAUUUGGGGUUUUUGGAUCCAUUUUGGCCAAUGAAAGAUGGUAGACCCAACUGGUGGUGGUGGAAACCCAACUGGUGGUGAUUUGGGAGGAAAACACACCCCAAAAGUGCCCAAUUUUGGGGUUUUUUGACCCAUUUUGGCCAACGGGAAGAAGGGAGACCCAACUGGUGGUGUUUGGAAGGGAAACUCACCUCAAAAGUGCCCAAUUUGGGGUUUUUUUGAUCCAUUUUGGCCAAUGAAAGAUGGUAGAGCCAACUGGUGGUGAUUUGGGAGGGAAAUACACCCCAAAAGUGCCCAAAUUUGGGGUUUUUGGACCCAUUUUGGCCAACGGGAAGAAGGGAGACCCAACUGGUAGUCAUGUGGGGUGAAAACACACCCCAAAAGUGCCCAAUUUUGGGGUUUUUUGACCCAUUUUGGCCAAUGAAAGAUGGGAGACCCAACUGGUGGUGAUUUGGGGGGAAAACACACCUCAAAAGUGCCCAAUUUUGGGGUUUUUGGACCCAUUUUGGCCAACGGGAAGAAGGGAGACCCAACUGGUGGUGUUUGGGGGGAAAACACCCCUCAAAAGUGCCCAAAUUUGGGGUUUUUGGACCCAUUUUGGCCAAUGAAAGAUGGUAGACCCAUCCGGUUGUGUUGGCAGAUCCAAUGUUUGGGGUUUGGGGGGAAAACACAUCCUUAAAAGUGCCCAAAUUUAGGGCUUUUUGACCCAUUUUGGCCAACAAGAAGAUGGGAGACCCAACUGGUCGUGUUUGGGGGGAAAACACACCCCAAAAGUGCCCUAUUUUGGGAUUUUUUGACCCAUUUUGGCCAACGGGAAGAAAGUAGACCCAACUGGUGGUAUUUGGGGGGAAAACACACCUCAGAAGUGCCCAAAUUUGGGGUUUUUGGACUCAUUUUGGCCAAUUGGAAGUAGGGAGACCAAACUGGUGGUGUUGGGAGAUCCAAUGUGUGGGCUUUGGGGGGAAAACACACCUCAAAAGUGCCCAAAUUUGGGGUUUUUUGACCCAUUUUGGCCAACGAAAGAUGGUAGACCCAACCGGUUGUGUUGGGAGAUCCAAUGUGUGGGGUUUGGGGGGGAAAACACCUCAAAAGUGCCCAAUUUGGGGUUUUUUUGACACAUUUUGGCCAACGGGAAGAAGGGAGACCCAACUGGUGGUAUUUGGGGGGAAAACACACCCCAAAAGUCCCCAAAUUUGGGGUUUUUUGACCCAUUUUGGCCAAUGAAAGAUGGUAGACCCAACUGGUGGUGUUGGAAACCCAACUGGUGGUGAUUUGGGAGGAAAACACACCCCAAAAGUGCCCAAUUUUGGGGUUUUUUGACCCAUUUUGGCCAACGGGAAGAAGGGAGAUCCAACUGGUGGUGUUUGGGGGGAAAACAAACCCCAAAAGUGCCCUAUUUUGGGUCUCUUCACCCCAUUUUGGUUAUGGAAAAGGCCAUGACACCCAACCGACACCAUUUUGGUGGCAAACACACCUCAAAAGCAACCAAUUUUGGGUCUUUUCACCCCAUUUUGGCCAACGGGAAGAAGGAAGACCCAACCGACAUCAUUUUGGUGGCAAACACACCUCAAAAGUGCCCAAAUUUGGGUUUUUUUGCCCCAUUUUGGCCACGGAAGAGACCACGACACCCAACCGACGUCGUUUUGGUGCCAAACCCACCCCAAAAGCCCCCAAUUUUGGCCUUUUUCACCCCAUUUUAGGCCUACCGGAACUCCAACACCGCCCGUAGAGCGUUGGCCAACCUUCCUCCCCCAUUGAGGGCACCGAGGGCCUCGUGUCCGUCUGUCCAUCCCUCCACCUGUCCAUCUGUCCAUCCAUCUGUCCAUUCAUCCAUCCAUGCAUCCAUCCCUCCAUCCCCC
Molecule: long non-coding RNA, 7777 nt
Organism: Gallus gallus (chicken)
Lineage: Eukaryota; Metazoa; Chordata; Aves; Galliformes; Phasianidae
Source: Ensembl